GUUUCUUCAAUUGUGUAUUUUCUUUUUCAUGACACCUCUAAGUAACUAAUUGCAUUAUAGUUACUUAGCAUAUUAAUUAAUAAAAGCAUCAUAACUUCUUCAUCUGUGUGUUUAAGUCUGAACUUCUAGAAACAAGAUCCCCUUAAGAUUCUUUGUUGUGGCUUUAAGACUAAUGUGUAGGUCUAAACACUCAACCUGAGGGAAGAAACUUCAGUGUUGAGAGAUUAAGAGGUAAAUACGAGUGAAAGAUGAGAGAGAAAUUUUUUAAAAAAAAUUUCUUUGCAGGAACUUCACUAUUUCUCACCCA
This 307-nucleotide long non-coding RNA is filed under the name Carica papaya (papaya). Its description in RNAcentral is "long non-coding RNA (CPAP_LNC012427)". Lineage: Eukaryota; Viridiplantae; Streptophyta; Magnoliopsida; Brassicales; Caricaceae. The record is from RNAcentral.